This 628-nucleotide ribosomal RNA is filed under the name Vibrio parahaemolyticus. RNAcentral describes it as "bacterial SSU rRNA". It matches the Rfam family "Bacterial small subunit ribosomal RNA", at positions 1 to 608 of the family's 1533-position model. The record is from RNAcentral. RNAcentral also lists the same sequence under 1 other name. Lineage: Bacteria; Pseudomonadati; Pseudomonadota; Gammaproteobacteria; Vibrionales; Vibrionaceae.
AAAUUGAAGAGUUUGAUCAUGGCUCAGAUUGAACGCUGGCGGCAGGCCUAACACAUGCAAGUCGAGCGGAAACGAGUUAUCUGAACCUUCGGGGAACGAUAACGGCGUCGAGCGGCGGACGGGUGAGUAAUGCCUAGGAAAUUGCCCUGAUGUGGGGGAUAACCAUUGGAAACGAUGGCUAAUACCGCAUGAUGCCUACGGGCCAAAGAGGGGGACCUUCGGGCCUCUCGCGUCAGGAUAUGCCUAGGUGGGAUUAGCUAGUUGGUGAGGUAAGGGCUCACCAAGGCGACGAUCCCUAGCUGGUCUGAGAGGAUGAUCAGCCACACUGGAACUGAGACACGGUCCAGACUCCUACGGGAGGCAGCAGUGGGGAAUAUUGCACAAUGGGCGCAAGCCUGAUGCAGCCAUGCCGCGUGUGUGAAGAAGGCCUUCGGGUUGUAAAGCACUUUCAGUCGUGAGGAAGGUAGUGUAGUUAAUAGCUGCAUUAUUUGACGUUAGCGACAGAAGAAGCACCGGCUAACUCCGUGCCAGCAGCCGCGGUAAUACGGAGGGUGCGAGCGUUAAUCGGAAUUACUGGGCGUAAAGCGCAUGCAGGUGGUUUGUUAAGUCAGAUGUGAAAGCCCGGGGC